AAUCAACGCUGGCGGCGUGCCUAACACAUGCAAGUCGAACGCGAAAGCCCCGCAAGGGGUAAGUAGAGUGGCAAACGGGUGAGUAAUACGUGGGUGAUAUGCUUUCGUGUGGGGGAUAACGUCUUGAAAGGGCCGCUAAUACUGCAUGACAUCAUGCUCUUGAACAAGCGGAGAUCAAGGCUGGGGAUCGCAAGACCUAGCGCUUGAAGAGGGGCCCGCGCCUGAUUAGCUAGUUGGCGAGGUAACGGCUCACCAAGGCGACGAUCAGUAUCCGGCCUGAGAGGGCGGGCGGACGCACUGAGAGUGAGACACGGCCCAGACGCCUACGGGAGGCAGCAGUGGGGAUAUGUGCGCAAUGGGCGCAAGCCUGACGACGCAACGCCGCGGGGAGAACGAAGAUCGUCGGGUCGUAGACUCCUGUCGAGCGGGACGAACGCGUCGCGGAUGAAUAAUCCGCGGAAUUGACGGUACCGCGAAAGGAAGCCCCGGCUAACUCCGUG
This 500-nucleotide ribosomal RNA is filed under the name uncultured bacterium. Its description in RNAcentral is "partial 16S ribosomal RNA". It matches the Rfam family "Bacterial small subunit ribosomal RNA", at positions 29 to 507 of the family's 1533-position model. The record is from RNAcentral.